GACGAACGCUGGCGGCGUGCUUAACACAUGCAAGUCGAACGGUAAGGCCCUUCGGGGUACACGAGUGGCGAACGGGUGAGUAACACGUGGGUGAUCUGCCCUGCACUUCGGGAUAAGCCUGGGAAACUGGGUCUAAUACCGGAUAGGACCACUGCCUGCAUGGGUGGUGGUGGAAAGCUUUUGCGGUGUGGGAUGGGCCCGCGGCCUAUCAGCUUGUUGGUGGGGUGAUGGCCUACCAAGGCGACGACGGGUAGCCGGCCUGAGAGGGUGACCGGCCAAACUGGGACGGAGAUGCGGCCCAGACGCCUACGGGAGGCAGCAGUGGGGAAUAUUGCACAAUGGGCGCAAGCCUGAUGCAGCGACGCCGCGUGAGGGAUGACGGCCUUCGGGUUGUAAACCUCUUUCAGCACCGACGAAGCGCAAGUGACGGUAGGUGCAGAAGAAGGACCGGCCAACUACGUGCCAGCAGCCGCGGUAA
This 478-nucleotide ribosomal RNA is filed under the name uncultured bacterium. RNAcentral's name for it is "partial 16S ribosomal RNA". It matches the Rfam family "Bacterial small subunit ribosomal RNA", at positions 28 to 523 of the family's 1533-position model. The record is from RNAcentral.